GUGAACUCUGGGAGUGGUGAUGGACAGGGAGGCCCGGCAUGCUGCAGUUCAUGGGGUUGCAAAGAGUCGGACACGACUGAGCGACUGAACUGAACUGAACUGAACUGAACUUUGUGUGUUUUGCUACAUCCGGUAACUAGCUUAAUUUCAGCACAGGACAUCAUAAAGCAUCCACAUAAGGCAACAGUAAAAUUCUAGUUGCCCAACAUCCCCUUCAGAAAUCAGCCAAAAAUUUCUCCUUCAAACACUGGCUACCAAUGUUAGUGUCUUAUGUACAUUGGCUCUGCUAAUUACACCAGAAUCAAUAGUUAGGUAUAAAGGUCAUGGGGUGGCCUUUAGAUUUUGAGAUACCCAGACAUGGAAAUGUUUUCAGAAUAGAUAGCAACUAGCCUAAUCAUCUAUCUUCAGAAAAUACUAAUUAUGAAUCACAUGAAGAGAGAAAAAUACAUGCAAAAACAGAAGUAGGACCAGAGGAAGUAAAGGGAGAAGAUGCUAAACUGGAGUCUCUAAAGGGAGAGCCAUGAAGGUCCAGAUGACAGGGUGUACCCCAAAGCCUUCUGCCUCCAGCCCAGCUGACCCUCAUCCACCAGACGGUCUAAGCUGUCUGCCUUUUUUGCUGUCCUCUUUCUAAUCUAUGAUUAAGGCUUGAAUCUCGGCCCUGCUUCCCUUGAGGCCUUCUCUUUUACAUAAAGCAUGUUUGGAAAUCACCAAAACUUGAAAAAUGGCUAUGUCCCUGCAUUUUAAUGUCUAUGUCCUAAUCCCCCUGCUCUGACUUUGUUUUCUUUUGUUCUGUUUUUGACUGCUUGACUGUGGGAUCUUAGUUCCCCAACCAGGGAUUGAACCCAGGCUGUAUGGCAGUAAAAGUUUGGAGUUCUAACCCCUGGACUGCCAGGGAAUUCCAAGUUCUGCUGUGACUUUGAAAAUACAAAUACAUGGGCUUGAGACCUCCCAGUCCACCCCUAUGUGACUGAGACCUCUAAGUCCACCCCUAUGUGGUCAAUAACUUCUGUUUAGUGCACAUUGUGUCCAUGGCCCUAUGCCUGGCCUUCCAGAGCUGUAAAAGUGGAUGAGAUUGUUCUUUCAAAAAGCUGGACCUAAGAGGACUAGAAGGGUAGACAUUGGAAGGGAGAAAGAAAGGAGGCUUGUCAACAUGAGAUUGUGGGGUGAGAUGAGGGGAUUUUAAAACACACACCCAUAUGGCUGCAAUCUUACGAGUUCCUGGGAAACAAAUAAUGUGUUGGGAAAAGGGGAGCUUGUGGGCUCCAGUUAUUGGGAAACAUAUGAAAGUCCCACUGUGGGAACUGUCAAAGAAGAAUUCCACACAUUCUCUUUUUUAAAAAAUUGGGAGUCUUUUAAAAGCAGGUUUGAGUACUCAAGCCUUCAAGUUCCCGUUAACUUCUGACAUAAAAUGUAAAUAGAGUUUGAGUCAUAUCUUUAAAAAGAAUGACUGUAGUUACAAUUCUCCCCUUCCUCAUGAGCUUUGUCUUAACUAACCUUGACUUCCUGCCCCCCUGUUAGAAUUACGACUGCUUCUGGGCCAGAGAGUGAAGGAGAGGAAGGGAAGAAAAUAAGAAAGGAACAAGGAUUAAGAGGACCUGCCAUGUGCCAGAGAAGAAAAUGGAGUCACAGAGAGGAAGUAAUAUGUCUAAAGUUACACAACUCAUAGUAGAACCAGCAUGUGAACAGAAAGAUCUGACCCAAGUCCAUGCUCCUGACCGUGAUGCCACCAGUUGUGUGUCCACUUUUCUGUGACACAUUUAUUAUUUGCCUAUGGUCUUCAGUCUUCUUUUGGUCAUUGAAUGGUACACAUCAAAUUCUUUGGAGGCCAAGUAGGUAACUUGCCCUGCCGUCUGGAAUUCCCAAACUUGUGAAAGAGAUCAGGAGGAUGUGUGACUACCAAACUGAAGAGAAGUACCAUGUUCGCCAAGACGUAAACACUUGAGUAUUUCUGAAUAGAAGUGAAGUCAGUUAGAGCAGCUUAUGUAGAUUGGCAUCCCCAGCCCCACUGUACUCCUAGAAGCUUGCCAGCCUAGAAAAUAGGCUCUCUAGCCUUUGCCUGUGUCCACCAUGGGUUCUCAUGACACCAUCAUUUUUUUAAAUAUAGCUCCUAACCAAUGCUGGUAGCUUUUAUCAUUGAUGAAAUUUAAUUUUAUUAGGUAGCAAUAGCCUACAAAAUCAAGAAACUGGGAAGAAUGAAGUGUGAGCAGUAAGACACUAAUAGUCUAUUCCCCUCCCCUAUCCUUACUUCUCCUGAACACAUGCAGACACCCACAGUCAAAAACAACAACAAAAAAAAAUCAAGGGGAUCUCCAGAUAACUCACUUAUUGAUUCCACAGUGGAGCAUCUUUAUUUGCCUAAUCCUUUACACACUGGUCUGUAUGCUUUAUGCUUCUGUGUCUGUAUCCAUAUUUUUCUUUAAACUUUUAAAAAUAGUCACCAGCAUGUGAACUAUUUCACCUUACUCAUUCUUACAUUAAAUAAAUAGAUAGGUAAAUACAUAAAUAAGUAAAAUGAAGAGUAUAAAAACAGAAAUCUUGUCUAGAAAGCAAACUAAACUAUGAUUGAGUAUUUGUGUGAGCUCAGUUGCUCAGUCGUGUCUGCCUCUUUGCGACCCUAUGGACUUUAGCCCGCCAGCCUCCUCUGUCCUUGGGAUUCUCUGGGCAAGAAUAC
Molecule: long non-coding RNA, 2671 nt
Organism: Bubalus bubalis (water buffalo)
Lineage: Eukaryota; Metazoa; Chordata; Mammalia; Artiodactyla; Bovidae
Exons: 4
Source: RefSeq, a predicted model, not a curated record